Molecule: transfer RNA, 74 nt
Filed under: Cordylochernes scorpioides
Lineage: Eukaryota; Metazoa; Arthropoda; Arachnida; Pseudoscorpiones; Chernetidae
Description: tRNA-Thr
Rfam family: tRNA
About the family: Transfer RNA (tRNA) molecules are approximately 80 nucleotides in length. Their secondary structure includes four short double-helical elements and three loops (D, anti-codon, and T loops). Further hydrogen bonds mediate the characteristic L-shaped molecular structure. tRNAs have two regions of fundamental functional importance: the anti-codon, which is responsible for specific mRNA codon recognition, and the 3' end, to which the tRNAs corresponding amino acid is attached (by aminoacyl-tRNA synthetases). tRNAs cope with the degeneracy of the genetic code in two manners: having more than one tRNA (with a specific anti-codon) for a particular amino acid; and 'wobble' base-pairing, i.e. permitting non-standard base-pairing at the 3rd anti-codon position.
Source: RNAcentral
GCCUAUGUAACCUAGUUGACAUGGCAUCUGCCCGGUAAGCGGAACACUGUGGGUUCGAUUCCCAUCCCUGGACA